Molecule: ribosomal RNA, 892 nt
Filed under: uncultured bacterium
Lineage: Bacteria
Description: bacterial SSU rRNA
Rfam family: Bacterial small subunit ribosomal RNA
Source: RNAcentral
CCGCGAUUUCCUGGCUCAGGAUGAACGCUAGCUACAGGCUUAACACAUGCAAGUCGAGGGGAAACGACAUCGAAAGCUUGCUUUUGAUGGGCGUCGACCGGCGCACGGGUGAGUAACGCGUAUCCAACCUGCCCAUCACUUGGGGAUAACCUUGCGAAAGUAAGACUAAUACCCAAUGAUAUCUCUAGAAGACAUCUGAAAGAGAUUAAAGAUUUAUCGGUGAUGGAUGGGGAUGCGUCUGAUUAGCUUGUUGGCGGGGUAACGGCCCACCAAGGCGACGAUCAGUAGGGGUUCUGAGAGGAAGGUCCCCCACAUUGGAACUGAGACACGGUCCAAACUCCUACGGGAGGCAGCAGUGAGGAAUAUUGGUCAAUGGGCGAGAGCCUGAACCAGCCAAGUAGCGUGCAGGAUGACGGCCCUAUGGGUUGUAAACUGCUUUUAUAAGGGAAUAAAGUGAGUCUCGUGAGACUUUUUGCAUGUACCUUAUGAAUAAGGACCGGCUAAUUCCGUGCCAGCAGCCGCGGUAAUACGGAAGGUCCGGGCGUUAUCCGGAUUUAUUGGGUUUAAAGGGAGCGUAGGCCGGAGAUUAAGCGUGUUGUGAAAUGUAGACGCUCAACGUCUGCACUGCAGCGCGAACUGGUUUCCUUGAGUACGCACAAAGUGGGCGGAAUUCGUGGUGUAGCGGUGAAAUGCUUAGAUAUCACGAAGAACUCCGAUUGCGAAGGCAGCUCACUGGAACGCAACUGACGCUGAAGCUCGAAAGUGCGGGUAUCGAACAGGAUUAGAUACCCUGGUAGUCCGCACGGUAAACGAUGGAUGCCCGCUGUUGGUCUGAAUAGGUCAGCGGCCAAGCGAAAGCAUUAAGCAUCCCACCUGGGGAGUACGCCGGCAA